This is a non-coding RNA of Gasterosteus aculeatus aculeatus (three-spined stickleback), 3848 nucleotides long. The record is from RefSeq and is a predicted model, not a curated record. NCBI's taxonomy places the organism in Eukaryota, Metazoa, Chordata, Actinopteri, Perciformes, Gasterosteidae.
UCUAAAACAAAAAAAUAAAAUCACAAUGCAAAUCAAUUAGCAUUUAAGUUAAACAGAACACAUAUUUGACCACUUGGAACAACAGUAACCUCUUAUAGGCCUAUGAUUUUUCAAUGAUUGGAUAGCCUAAGUAGGCUAGCCUAUGUUUCCCCUACAUUCAAAGCACUUUUCAAAACUGCCCAACAUGUUCAUGGAUGUAUUUGAAUUAAAGAGAGGGAAAUUAUCUUGCAACAUCUUUCAUAAGGAAAAUUUAAGAGGCCAAGUGAAAUGCAUGUUUAUUAUUUUAUUAGUUCAGAACUAAUUGUUAACUGAACAAAUUUAAAACAAAUAUAUUAUAACUAAUUAAAUAUAGUAAAUGUAUUGAAUAGAGUUACCAUAGACAAAAUAUGAAUAUCAUUAUAAUUAAAUAUUCAUUUCUGCUUAAGUUAACUGGGUGCACGGAGGGAUAGCAAGUGCUCGAGCGCAUGUUUAGGCCUAGGCUACGUCUCUCUUUAUGUUUUUAAGUCUAUGUUCUCUGCAGUCUACUGCAAAAACAGGCAAAAAUACUAAUAAUAAAUAAGCGAGCCUAUGUCUUUAAAAUUAACGAGGCACUUUAAUUAUUUAUUAUAAACUGUUUUCAUCUGCACUGUAAAGUUGAUGCGCCUUUAAUAAAGAGAGGAAUGCAUCUUUCUUAGUUUACAUAAUCAGAUGAUAGCCUAUUUGCUUAUGCUUUUUUUUUUUAAGUGGACAUGUACAUGCUUUAGGCCUAUAUAGCUAUAUUUCCCAUGUAGGCUAUGUUAUGAUAGUGCCUAUACGCUGUUUCUGUUUAUUCACGGGGCGCGCCCUCGUUGUUUUAUUUCAUUUAACCAUUAAACUUAAUUUUGCGCUCUGCACAUACAUACCGGUACGCAAGCCCCGCUCUCCUUAGUUACUGUUGCUACACCACGAUUGGCCAGUGACUGUUUUUGGGCGUGGCUUAGCGGAGGGUCAUUCGUUUCACGUGCGACCAGUUUGAAAACGAAAAAGGCAGCUGCUGACUGAGGCAAUAAAGAGGAUGCAGAAAAGUUGCCGCGUUUUUCAAUGCGUUUAAAACGACAAACAAGCCAAAAUAAUUUGGUGUGCAGUUUUUUGUGCAUUUGCAUCUCGAGUUCAACCAUUGCAUUCGGGUUUUGACAAGGUUUUGGGCUGGAAAACCUUGCUGGCAUCUGGCAACCAUUCCGGAUCGACAUCUGACAUUUCUUCACGACAAACCUUUCUGGCUACUAACCAAAGGGCCUCCAUAGUGCGGAGGGGCAGCUCCAAGGGCUCCGCCAGUGGCCGUCCCACAGACUCCGACUGUCCACACUUGCAGGACUGGCGGAAUUGCCUGAACUCCUCUCGCAGGUCCUUCACCUCCUUGGACAACUCUGUCACUGCACAUACCUUCAGGAGAUGGCCUCUGGAGUAAAUUCAUGGGGGAGAACGCCAAUUCAUCUCCAGGGAACAAUGCUGGGACAUUGGGGCCAUGGUGGCUCUCCUCCUCAGACUGGAUGUCAGUGGUGUCACAGUCUUUAUUCACAUAUCUGUCCAGGCUCCUCACUGCCUCAUCAUGGCUAUCUACAAGCAUAAUCAGUCAAGUACUGUCGGAGUCAGGAGAAAUACUAGUGCUUCCCAAUAAAUUGUGGAAAAGUUCAUUUAUUUCAGGAAUUCAACUUAAAAUGUUAAACUAAUAUAUUAUAUAGACUCAUUGCAUGCCAAGUGACAUAUUUCAAGCAUAUUUCAGAUUCUUAUACCAGAACACCCACCACGAGUUAUGAGGAGCCGGAUAGGUUGAUAUGUGUGCCAUCCCUGUCCAGGCUGUUCUCUGUUCAGGAUGGCUGCAUUCAGCCUAAUAGAGUCCUUAGGAGGGUAUGGGGGCCAGAAGACUUUAUCCCCUUCCACCCAUGUGUUUGGCACAGUUUCUGUUGCACCAUUGCUGAACUGCACAACGCACCAUCUGGACAUUUUUUAAUUUUUUCAAAGACUCUAAAAAAAAAGAAAUGUACUUAUAAACUGAUUUGGACAUUUUAAUUGGUGUGAAUGAUGGGAAUGGCAAUCAACUGUGUUUUGUCAGGAUAAAGUAUGUACUUUUUGCCAAUGUGCUGAAGCCUCGUCACACCGACAUACUUGCACAACCCCCAAACUGUAUAUACCCCAAUGUUUGCCGAAGGAAAGGGAUACUGGCCAUAGGACUCUUUUUUGGUAAACUUUCGAAAAAUUAUGUAAGUCUCCUGACCUACCUUGACAAUGUUUUCAACAAUGGCAAUGUCAUCUACAAUUUGAAAACAAUUAUCCCCAGAACAAGAUGAUAAUGUGUACUUUUCUGUGACAAGCUUACGGUACUGGUCUCCACAACUUAAUGAAGAGAUUAAUGGACCAUCAUAAUGAGGAUGCAUGAAUUUUUGUCCUUUCUUCACUGUGUCCAAGGUCGGAUCAGGUGAUUCUGAGAGCCUUUUAACUACUUGCUGUAAAGGCAAGUGAGGCUUGCGCAAUAGGUGUUUCAGUUGCGCUAAAUAAUUCUCGUAAGGAAAUGCAGAUAUGUUGUCUAAGGGACCAAACAGACGGUAUUCUGAUGCCAAGUGUGUUAGAUGAUGGACAUUGUAGGUGAUUUCACCUUUCCCAUAUAGCUGCCCAAAGUGAGUUACGAAUGAAGUUAACAAUCUCUGAGCGCAAUCUAUCAUUUCCUCUGAUGUUCCAGGAGACACCAGCAGAUGCAUGGCCACAGAAAGUAACAUAAAGUUUUCAUAAAUUUCAAGGGCAAUGGUAUUUUUCAGGACUACUGGGCCAGCAUAAAGCAUGAAAUAUCGAAGCUCUGUAGCCUUCCACCGAUCUAUUUCAGAGAGGUGCCUGGGUUUCCGACUGAACUCAGAAGGAGUGUAGGGUCUUAAGUCCCUUCAAUUUAACGGAAAUCUCUUCAAUUGAUUUACUUGACAACCUAGUUGCCAGUGAUUUGCCCCUCAUCCAAAUAUAUAGGAACUUCCUGGUUACCCCAAGACAGCACAAGUGCAUGUAAUCUAAUGGGAACAUUGUCACCAUUUUGAUCAUACUAGCUAGUGGGGAUAGUGUUUGGUUUUGGUGGUGUUCAUCAUCGGUCAUGGAGUUGAAGUCUGUGUCUGUCCUCAAUCUAACAUUUGUUUCUGGAUAUGUCAUUUUGUUGUGACAUUCACCCACUUGAAAACACUUGUCGCAGCCUGAAUAACCAUUGUGGCUUUUUAUAUUUUUAAUAAAAGCUCAUGCUGGGGCAUCGCAUAUAAAUGAGCACACUUCUGCCAUAAUCUGCUGCCUAUUGUGAACAAUGCCAUUUUUUAGAAUGCCACUCAGGUCCUCAAUAAAUGGACCUAAGAACUCAAAGACACUCUUUGGUUUGGUAAAGCCACAGAAAAGGCCGACAAGGAAUGGCGAUUUUCUGUAAUCAACAUUAAUGGUAGCUAGAAUGGGCCAGAACUGAGUUCUGCUCCUUCGGAAAAGCCGUAAACCAUCUAUACUGAACUGCAGCUUAAUUGUCGUCAAAUUGGCAGGAAGGAUCAAAGAUUUCAGUUUUGACAUCAAUCCAGUAGCUAGGCCAAAGUGAUAAUAGUGAUAAUGCUGGCAGAAGCAGUGAUAAGUUUAUCACAACAUCUUAACCAUCUAUGCUGGCCUAGUUAACCUGAAGAGUCCACUGAUCAGAGUGCCUCGUGAGGUUUAGAGCCUUGCCAACACCUAGUCAUCUUGUUCAUUAAAUACAGAUAAACAAAUACUGCAUUUUAUUUUCUUUUAAUAUAUGAAUAUUUUCAUUGUGAUGUAAUUGUGUGGGCUGCUUUUGUAUUUUACUUUUUAAUACCUGUUAGGAAUAAAAUUGACUUGAUAUUUAA